GUGAGGAAUAUUGGUCAAUGGACGAGAGUCUGAACCAGCCAAGUCGCGUGAAGGAAGACGGUUCUAUGAAUUGUAAACUUCUUUUGUGCAGGAAUAAAGUGGGUUACGUGUAACCUUUUGUAUGUACUGUACGAAUAAGGAUCGGCUAACUCCGUGCCAGCAGCCGCGGUAAUACGGAGGAUCCGAGCGUUAUCCGGAUUUAUUGGGUUUAAAGGGUGCGUAGGUGGAUUGAUAAGUCAGCGGUGAAAGUUUGCAGCUUAACUGUAAAAUUGCCGUUGAAACUGUCGGUCUUGAGUGCAAAUGAGGUAGGCGGAAUGUGUUGUGUAGCGGUGAAAUGCUUAGAUAUAACACAGAACUCCGAUUGCGAAGGCAGCUUACUGGGAUGCAACUGACACUGAUGCACGAAAGCGUGGGUAUCAAACAGGAUUAGAUACCCCUGUAGUCC
This 445-nucleotide ribosomal RNA is filed under the name uncultured bacterium. RNAcentral describes it as "partial 16S ribosomal RNA". It matches the Rfam family "Bacterial small subunit ribosomal RNA", at positions 354 to 796 of the family's 1533-position model. The record is from RNAcentral.